RNAcentral lists this long non-coding RNA (1983 nucleotides) under Homo sapiens (human). RNAcentral describes it as "HSALNT0362425". Lineage: Eukaryota; Metazoa; Chordata; Mammalia; Primates; Hominidae. The record is from RNAcentral.
CUUCUCUGGACUAUCUCGUAACCCAUCUGUGAAGCAGGGAGAAGUCCAAGCUUCCUCAUGAAGAGGAUCACAUCAAGACGAAGUCUCACUCUGUCACCCAGGCUGCAGUGCAGUGGCACGAUCUCGGCUCACUACAACCUCCACCUCCCAGGUUUAAGCGAUUCUCCUGCCUCACCCUCCUGAGUAGCUGGGAUUACAGAGUGAAGCCAAAGGCACAGGAAGCACAGCUGGAAUGGGGACAUAGGAACGCGGGGGCUCCCAUGAGUUGACCGGACAACUGAGAGAUGGCAACCUAGACCUGGGGGACAAAAUAUGCUAUGUUUUCGUGAAUCCAUGAUUCGACCUGAAGAAGAAGGAAAGAACUGGACAUCCAGAUGAGUACAUUGAUAUCGAAGAAAAAAAGAGGAGGGAGCACACAGGUGAGCAGGUGCAGGAACCAGCCGGACAAUUUGCCGCCAGCAGGAAUGAACUCCAAGCAGGCCCCACUGCAGUAUCCAGGUCGGGGUGCCUGUGACUUCUGAAGCCACAGAGGCAUUCUUUUGCUACUUACAUGGUGGAACUCCUUGAACAGAAUAACAGACCAUAGUGCCUGCCUGGAAUUCAGACUGGAAAAGAUUGAAAUAUCUGUGUAGUUCAUAUAUCUGAAACACUGACUUCAUCUCACUCAUGAGAAUUCAACAGUUAUGCUAAAGAUUGUGUUAUGGGAGCUCCUAGAGAGCUAGUCCAUCAGGCUCUAAAUUUUUAAACGUGUAAGUUUCAGAAUCACAGAAAUCUUAGAAGAUAUUGAACAGCUAAAGCUUUGAAGCAACGAGACUUUAGAUCCUCUCUCCUCAUUCCUAUUUUCCUCAUCAUAUCAACCUUUUUAAGAAGCAGAAGAAUGAUGAAAGAGAUGGGGCCAACACUCUCAGAGGUGAGAAAAACAGCUGAGCACUGUGGAGGCGGAAGAUACAGAGAGCUCCAUUGCAGCCACAGUGAUGGAUGGCAUCGAUAGAGAAAAUCCCACAAAAGAGCUUGACUUUUCUCAUGAAUCUGCAGUUUCUUCCGAAAAAGUGAAAUUUUAUCAAAUGUUGAGACCCAGAAAAGUUAUCUGUAGACUUCAGCCUUUGCAAAAAAAUGGAAGAAACAAUUGAGAAGCAGACACAGAAGUCAAACUUUUUCAAUAAGCUAAAUUGGAAGAAAGGGCUUAGCACACGGUGUUUCCUAAUCUUUCCUGCCAACCAUUUAUUUAAGCUCAGAUCUUGGGAAGCCCAUCUAAGGGCUUCCAAAGAGAAAAUGCUACUUAUCAAGAAUCAUGCCUUUCCUGUUGCAGAGUAGAAGUAAACAAAAUCAAGAAAUCUCCAAUGCUCACACAAUUUUAACAGGUUUGGCCAAUACAACAGAGACGUGAAAACCAACAGAUGUCCCCCACCAAUCCAGGAAUGAGUGAAUUCUUGCUCUAUCAGGACCUGUGAGACUUCCCUCAAGAGCUGGUUGUUAAAAAGAGCCUAGGACCUCUUCCCUCUCUUGCUUCCUCUCUUGCCUUGUGAUCUUCACAUCCUGACUCUCCUUCACCUUCCACUCUGAGUGGAAGUUUCCUGAGGCUCUCGCAAGAAGCAGAUAUCGGCACCAUGCUUCUUUUACAGUCUUCAUAGUCCUGAGAACAAAACAGUUCAGAUCAACUCAACAAUAUUCCAAGUGGGCUUUGCAGAGCAUCUUCUGGACUAAGUAGAAGGAGAAGGAGAAGGAGCCAGACCUUCCCUGUGGCCAUGCUUUCUCUAAAACAGCCCUGAUGACUUACUUUUUCAGGUUGAGCUGCAGGUAAGACACUGUUCUGGGGCUCCCAGAAUCCCUCAGAUCUUCCAAGAGAGAUGAAAACCUCCAUCCCCAAAAAGAGAAAACUCUCUAUUUUCAAGUGGACUGUUCCUAUCAAGAGAAUUCUAUGAAAUGUUAAUUUUUUUAAACUUAUAAUAUUGAUUCUUUUCUGUAUAAAGAAAAUGAGAAGCA